Molecule: transfer RNA, 115 nt
Filed under: Colletotrichum incanum
Lineage: Eukaryota; Fungi; Ascomycota; Sordariomycetes; Glomerellales; Glomerellaceae
Rfam family: tRNA
About the family: Transfer RNA (tRNA) molecules are approximately 80 nucleotides in length.
Source: Rfam by way of RNAcentral
GGGCGCUUGGUCUAGGGGUAUGAUUUUCGCUUCGCAUCUGGCUUUGGCCCUCAUUCAGGGCUAUUAGCAUGCGCUUGCUUGUGAAAGGUCGUGGGUUCAAUUCCCACAGUGUCCA